GAUCAAGUGUCUUAAGGGCAAUUGGUGGAUGCCUUGGCAUGCACAGGCGAUGAAGGACGUGAUACGCUGCGAUAAGCUACGGGGAGGUGCGAAUACCCUUUGAUCCGUAGAUCUCCGAAUGGGGAAACCCACCUAAGGUACUUGGAAAAUCAGAGAUGCCGAUUGGUCGACAAGGCCGACCUGCAUCUGUGGUUUCCAAGUAUCGCUAAUAGGUAACUUAUCCUGAAUCCAUAGGGAUAAAGUGGCGAACGCGGGGAACUGAAACAUCUAAGUACCCGUAGGAAAGGACAUCAACCGAGACUCCGGAAGUAGUGGCGAGCGAACCCGGACCAGGCCAGUGGCGAUUGAGAGACAAGCGGAACCUUCUGGAAAGUAGGGCCAUAGCGGGUGACAGCCCCGUACGCGUAAUGCGAUCAAUCGUCCUCGAGUAAGGCGGGACACGUGAAAUCCUGUCUGAAAUUGGGAGGACCACCUUCCAAGCCUAAGUACUCGUGCAUGACCGAUAGCGAACAAGUACCGUGAGGGAAAGGUGAAAAGCACCCCGACAAGGG
This 551-nucleotide ribosomal RNA is filed under the name Mesorhizobium plurifarium. Its description in RNAcentral is "partial 23S ribosomal RNA". It matches the Rfam family "Bacterial large subunit ribosomal RNA", at positions 1 to 535 of the family's 2925-position model. The record is from RNAcentral. Lineage: Bacteria; Pseudomonadati; Pseudomonadota; Alphaproteobacteria; Hyphomicrobiales; Phyllobacteriaceae.